GACAAACGAGUGGAGAGGGGAAAAGGAUAGUAGCCCUUUAACUUGUUGCCAGUCAACAUUAUUUGGUGGUGCGGUGCAGUGCGGUGGAGAGUUUCCGGUGCCAGUGAUAUUGCGUUGUUGCGCGGGGCUCGAUCUGGAAGGUAGUGUCAGGAAGGCGCCUUGGUGCUUUUUGUUUCACUCGUGGCGAGCUCUUUGCCAACGUCGUUUGAUUGCCGCCCCUUCGCGUAGCCUCGUCGGAGCUCUGACGCGGGUGAUUGAGGUCGCUGUGAAACGUCCGCCCCGAAGACAGCGACUGUCGGUUGAUGAUCGGCUUCUCCUUCACCUCUGGGAUUCAGUGUAGCAGCAAAAUUCAUGAUAAAGUGAACAAAAUUCUUUAUUUCUCCGAAGAGAUACUGGACUACAUUUUUCUGUCGCUUGACAACUUUCGAGGAAAAGAAAUGAGAUAGAAAAUAAUUUCUAAUUCUAGUUUCAUCGUAUUUAAAAUAAAAUAAAAAAAAUUGAGUAGUAUUGAAAGCUGAUCUUAAGAGUCUACAUCGUUGAUUCAAAAAGUGCCAAAUGCAAUGAAAUUCCAAGCCAGACUAAACAUGAGGUCAUUCAUUUCGAACUUACCUUUUUCCCCGUAAAAUAAAAAUAUUGGUUACAAACCAGGUGGGUACACAGUACUCAUGUUUGAAAUUCACCUUAAUUCCACAGACAUUGUACACUUUAGAAUAGUAAAAGUGGAUGUCUCACUUCUAACCAACAUUCUCAUUCCAUGUUUCUUCUUAUCAAUAAUAAAAAUUACAGAAAAAAAGAAUCAGAUGUUCGAAUUUCGGCGCU
RNAcentral lists this long non-coding RNA (819 nucleotides) under Physcomitrium patens. RNAcentral describes it as "long non-coding RNA (PPAT_LNC012036)". Lineage: Eukaryota; Viridiplantae; Streptophyta; Bryopsida; Funariales; Funariaceae. The record is from RNAcentral.